Molecule: unclassified non-coding RNA, 92 nt
Filed under: Pseudomonas sp. Q37-87
Lineage: Bacteria; Pseudomonadati; Pseudomonadota; Gammaproteobacteria; Pseudomonadales; Pseudomonadaceae
Description: partial regulatory RNA RsmZ
Source: RNAcentral
AAAAAAAGGGGCGGUUUGACCCGCCCACAUUUUUUCCCUAAUCCCUUUAAUCCUAUUCAUCGUCCUGAUGAAUCGCGUCCUGCGAUUCCUCU